This 392-nucleotide ribosomal RNA is filed under the name uncultured bacterium. RNAcentral's name for it is "partial 16S ribosomal RNA". It matches the Rfam family "Bacterial small subunit ribosomal RNA", at positions 523 to 918 of the family's 1533-position model. The record is from RNAcentral.
CUACGGAGGAUCCGAGCGUUAUCCGGAUUUAUUGGGUUUAAAGGGUGCGCAGGCGGCCGUUUAAGUCAGCGGUUAAAUCGUGGGGCUCAACCCCAUUCUGCCGUUGAUACUGGGUGGCUUGAUUGCGGUCGAGGUUGGCGGAAUUCGUUGUGUAGCGGUGAAAUGCAUAGAUAUGACGAAGAACACCGAUUGCGUAGGCAGCUGACCAGAUCGCAAAUGACGCUCAUGCACGAAAGUGCGGGGAUCGAACAGGAUUAGAUACCCUGGUAGUCCGCACAGUAAACGAUGAAUACUUGUUUUCGGCGAUAUAAUGUCGGAGGCAAAGCGAAAGCGAUAAGUAUUCCACCUGGGGAGUACGCCGGCAACGGUGAAACUCAAAGGAAUUGGCGGGG